UUGCUUUGGCAGCACAUAUACUAAAAGAUUGGAAUGAUACAGAGGAGAUUAGCAUGGAUGGAGUUCAAGAAUGCAGCAAAAAUUCAUGAAGUGUUCCAUAUUAAA
Cricetulus griseus (Chinese hamster) is the source of this 105-nucleotide small nuclear RNA. Lineage: Eukaryota; Metazoa; Chordata; Mammalia; Rodentia; Cricetidae. The record is from Ensembl.